RNAcentral lists this transfer RNA (65 nucleotides) under Marcia hiantina. Its description in RNAcentral is "tRNA-Leu". The record is from RNAcentral. Lineage: Eukaryota; Metazoa; Mollusca; Bivalvia; Venerida; Veneridae.
UAUUAAAGUGGCAGAAACAUGCGUCAAAUUUAAGCUUUGAAGAUGGGAAUAUUCCCCUUUAAUAU